RNAcentral lists this ribosomal RNA (406 nucleotides) under uncultured bacterium. RNAcentral's name for it is "partial 16S ribosomal RNA". It matches the Rfam family "Bacterial small subunit ribosomal RNA", at positions 30 to 526 of the family's 1533-position model. The record is from RNAcentral.
AUUGAACGCUGGCGGCAGGCCUAACACAUGCAAGUCGAACGAGUGGCGGACGGGUGAGUAAUGUCUGGGAAACGGCCUGAUGGAGGGGGAUAACUACUGGAAACGGUAGCUAAUACCGCAUACCAUCAGAUGUGCCCAGAUGGGAUUAGCUGGUUGGUGGGGUUACGGCUCACCACGGUGCCGAUCCCUAGCUGGUCUGAGAGGAUGACCAGCCACCCGGGAACUGGGACACGGUCCAGACUCCUACGUGAGGAAGCAGUGGAGCAUAUGGCACAAUGGGCGCAAGCCGGAUGCAUCCAUGCCGCGUUUAUGAAGACGGCCUUCGGGUUGUAAAGUACUUUCAGCCGGGAGGCGUUACCCGCAGAAGAAGCACCGGCUAACUCCGUGCCAGCAGCCGCGGUAAUAC